UACGGAGGAGGCAAGCGUUAUCCGGAAUUAUUGGGCGUAAAGAGUCCGUAGGUGGGUCACCCAGUCAGUUGUUAAAUAGUGAAGCUUAACUUCAUAGAGGCUACUGAAACUGUUGGUCUAGAGUGUGGUAGGGGAAGAGGGAAUUUCCAGUGUAGCGGUGAAAUGCGUAGAUAUUGGAAAGAACACCGGUGGCGAAAGCGCUCUACUGGGCCUGCACUGACACUGAGGUACGAAAGCUAGGGGAGCGAAAAGG
Molecule: ribosomal RNA, 253 nt
Filed under: uncultured bacterium
Lineage: Bacteria
Description: partial 16S ribosomal RNA
Rfam family: Bacterial small subunit ribosomal RNA
Source: RNAcentral